This 425-nucleotide ribosomal RNA is filed under the name uncultured bacterium. RNAcentral's name for it is "partial 16S ribosomal RNA". It matches the Rfam family "Bacterial small subunit ribosomal RNA", at positions 354 to 796 of the family's 1533-position model. The record is from RNAcentral.
GUGGGGAAUCUUGCGCAAUGGGCGAAAGCCUGACGCAGCCAUGCCGCGUGGAUGAUGAAGGUCUUAGGAUUGUAAAAUCCUUUCACCGGUGAAGAUAAUGACUGUAGCCGGAGAAGAAGCCCCGGCUAACUUCGUGCCAGCAGCCGCGGUAAUACGAAGGGGGCUAGCGUUGCUCGGAAUUACUGGGCGUAAAGGGAGCGUAGGCGGACAUUUAAGUCAGGGGUGAAAUCCCGAGGCUCAACCUCGGAACUGCCUUUGAUACUGGGUGUCUUGAGUGUGAGAGAGGUGAGUGGAACUCCGAGUGUAGAGGUGAAAUUCGUAGAUAUUCGGAAGAACACCAGUGGCGAAGGCGACUCACUGGCUCAUUACUGACGCUGAGGCUCGAAAGCGUGGGGAGCAAACAGGAUUAGAUACCCCUGUAGUCC